Molecule: ribosomal RNA, 288 nt
Filed under: uncultured bacterium
Lineage: Bacteria
Description: partial 16S ribosomal RNA
Rfam family: Bacterial small subunit ribosomal RNA
Source: RNAcentral
GUGGAUUAGAUACCCUGGUAGUCCACGCCGUAAACGAUGAGAACUAGCCGUUGGAUCCCUUGAGGGUUUAGUGGCGAAGCUAACGCGAUAAGUUCUCCGCCUGGGGAGUACGGCCGCAAGGUUAAAACUCAAAUGAAUUGACGGGGGCCCGCACAAGCGGUGGAGCAUGUUGUUUAAUUCGAUGCAACGCGAAGAACCUUACCGCCCCUUGACAUCCUCGGAACUUGUCAGAGAUGCCUUGGUGCCUUCGGGAACCGAGUGACAGGUGCUGCAUGGUUGUCGCCAGCU